Molecule: transfer RNA, 72 nt
Filed under: Halorubrum tropicale
Lineage: Archaea; Methanobacteriati; Methanobacteriota; Halobacteria; Halobacteriales; Haloferacaceae
Also listed under: 3 other names
Description: tRNA-Pro
Source: RNAcentral
GGCCGAAGGACUCCUCGGUAAAGCGCGUCCUUGGGAAGGACGAGACCCCGAGUUCAACUCUCGGCCUAGCCU